UAAUAGCCCUGAUUGAAAUGGAAAUCCUUUUUCGUCAGUUCGAGUAGCUCGAAGAGCGUAUCGAGAACAAGAAAAAGAUUGUAAUGAAAAGCAGGAAUAGGG
This 102-nucleotide small RNA is filed under the name Flavobacterium swingsii. RNAcentral's name for it is "Flavo-1 RNA". It matches the Rfam family "Flavo-1 RNA". Lineage: Bacteria; Pseudomonadati; Bacteroidota; Flavobacteriia; Flavobacteriales; Flavobacteriaceae. The record is from RNAcentral.